AUGCAAACUUCACAAAAUGAUGAAGUAGAGACGGUCCAUCUUCAGGAAACCACAGUUGCGAAUGUUGGAAAUGUAGUAACGGAAGAAGUUUUGGAAUCCUCCGAUAUCACAGAAAAACCGUUUAAAGUGGAUGUACCAAUCUCAACUAGUAACCAAGCCGAGGUCACGUCACAUGUUGAAGAGAAUGUAGUUUCUUCAUUUGGCACUCCAGAAAUUAUCCAUGACUACUCUGAUACCUCAUCUAACUCUGAAAAGGAACCGGAGUCAGUGAACGUAGAUAAUUAUCAACAACCAUCUUAUGACACGCAGUCACCCAGUGAAUCUGCAACGACGCAGUCAAGUAUCCUUCUCACUGGAAUUUCUGAGUCAGCACAUCCACCCGAACAAGAUAUUGCGCUAGUCCAAAAUACGCCAACCAAAGACAUUCAAACCAAUGACCAGAAGCCAACAGGUACAACAGAAGCUGCAGAGACUCAAACUGAAGUAGUGACAGAGUUGGAGUCUGGAGAUGUGUAUAUACCUGAACAACAGGUGGGUGCUUUAACAGACGAAACUGUGAACACUUCUGGUGGUGAAAAUGCCGAAAACGGCAACCUGGUUCCCCCAAUAGGACAAGCCGAUUCUCAGCCCUCCGUCAAUGUUGAGACUGCACCAAGUCAUUCUGCUGUUACGCCUGAAGCUAUUCCUCCCCCAAUCCAUCAGGAUGAUGUUGAAUCACAUACAGAGAAUAUCGAAUAUCCAUCUCAUAUUUCAGAUCUUGGAUCUAAAGUUCCUGCGGAGACUGCGACGGAAGCAGUCUAUACAACAAAUCAACCUCAUGAUCAGUCAAACAUUGUAGUUGCUCAAGACCAAUCUGAACUUUCGUAUGAUUCUGAGGCAACUCCAGCCGAUCCAAACCAAACUUUUGUUCCAUCCUUACAACAAGCAGCCUCUUCAUAUGAUGUUAACCACGAAGGCUCAACUCAAGCAUCACCAAUGAGUGAAAUCAUUUUCCACGAUGAUAAAGAAAAUAUAUUAAAACCAGAAAGUGAUUCUUCAAUUUAUAUACCAUCAGAUUUCCAAGGAAGUGAAAAUAGCAUUUCCGAAGCAAAUCCAAUUUCACAAUCAAAUGCUCAAGAAAAUAACGAGAUCCACUCCUCGCCGAAUGCUGACUCAUCUGACAGCCAAACGAUCGUAACUCAAACUCUGUCACCUGAAAGUUCUCAAGAUCACUUGCAUUCCGAUGGAAGCAAUGAAACUUCAGAUAAAGAAACACAUACAGAAACUAAUACUUCAGACAAACAUGAAAUUAACGAACAACAUCCACCGAUGAUAAAUGAAGCUGUGAUUGCGGGUGAUGAUGUUCCCUCCUACCCCUCAAAACCUUUGCUUGACACACAGUUAGACUCAGAGUCAAGUAAUCCUAUCACAAGCGGAAUAAAAGAGGAAAAUGUGGCCCAUGACACAAGUUCAGGGAUUGACCAACCUUAUUUACAACCAUCAACUGAGGAGCCAAAUAAACCAUCGAGUGAGUCAGAAUCCUAUGAUAUUGGGCCAGAAUCUACAGAAUCUACUGUUGCUCCUUUAGGCGUGCCCGGUGAAAAUGUGGCUGGUGCCAGUGGCAAGCCCGUCCCAGUGAAAGACGCGGAAGUCAUUGAAGGUGAAUCGGUGGCAACUUUGCACGAUCCCACAGCUGCACCUGAAAUGAGUCAUUCGUCGAAACCAGAAAUUUUACAUCAAGAAUCUAACGAUGAAGUGAUUCCACAAUCGCAAUCUACAGAUGCACCAAUAAAUGUUCAAAGGACCACUGUAAUACCAGUACUUGAAGAUAUACCAUCGGGAGUCACGGAUGAAAUUGAAACAAAUAAUGGAGCCUCGCCAAAUUCCGCACAGCCUGUUAAUGAAAACGCACAAGAGUUAUAUGAUCAGACAACAAACAUAGGAGUUGUCGAGUCGGAUAAAAUACAAGAGGCAAUUUUACCACCUCAAGAGUCAUCAGCAGAUUCAGUAGAGCCACAACAAAAUGUAAUGCCGUCUAAUGCAAAUGACGCCUCAGAUUCUACGGAAGCACCAUCCCAAACGAUCAAUGAUGUUCCGUCCAUUCAACAGGGUGAAGUUUUGCAAACCGUCGACGAAAAUUCUGAAAAUUCCUCUGAAACACCUCUUGUAGCUAAUGGUAUGCCAUCAUCUCCUACAAAUGAAGAAGUUAAACCCUAUUUGACUGAGAGUGAUCCCGUGACCCACGGAACACUCAUUAAUUCAGAGACGCUUGGAAUAAACGUUGAUGAAAAUAUUUCGCAAUCAACCGAAAAAGUUCCAAGUCAGGAUAGUAUUCCUCCUACAUCGCAAGAGGGUGCCGGAGCACAAUUUUUAGGAACUGUUGAAUCUAGUUCUAUCAGUUCCGUACACUUUUCGGAGAUAACUCCUGAAAACGAUGCUCAUAAUGUAGAGAUCAAACCUCCUGCUGAUGAAAUUCUCUCUCAAACCGUAACAGAGAUGACAAAUAAUGUAGAAAUUCCGGUAGACAGUCAAAUUAAUCAAGAGCAAAUCAAUGUAAUAUCUAGUCAAAACAACAUAAAUGAUCAGGCAAACUUAGAUAAGACGGAACAAUCAUUACCUCACUCCAGUGAGCCUCCUCUAAUUAUACAGCACUCUCCUGGGGAGCCAACAGAAGCUCCACUCUCAUCUAAUUCACAGUCUCCCUCUGUUGAUCCCUCUGAUCCAAGUGUACCGUUUGAAACUGGUGCCUUCAACCAAGACAACAUAGGGUACAGUUCUGAAAAUCCUGCCGUUGUCACAGAAAUAGCAUUUGAACAUGGUUCCAAGAAAAAUAUAAGUAGUGUUUUCCCCCAUGAUUCUGACUUUCUUCCAUCAAUUUCAACAGAAUCUACUCCAUUGAUUGGGUCAGAAUCUGUUUCUUCUCAGGGACAAGUAGGAAAUACGGAAGAAGCACUCAAACCAUCUGAUCCAAUUGUACCAGAAGGUACCAUCUCUGAAACUCCUACAAAAAAACCUGGUCUUAUGCCUAGUCAAGCUGAUUUAUUGACUUCUAUUAUUCAAGGACAUCUAGAAGAUCAAAACAAACCCAUCAGUGGCUUUGGAUCAAACAUUGAUGCUCAACUCUCGGAUUUAUUAAAUAAAGUUUCCACUCCUGUCCCAAUAUCGUCGGCCUCAAGCAGUACUGCUCACGAUACUAUUUUACAGUCAUCUUGGACACCAAAACCAAUGCCACCUCAAUCUGAAGAGUCCUCUCAUCGACCUGGUGAGGAGAAUCAUUUCCAACCGAUACAGAAUAUGAAGAGGAUGAAGAGGGUUCGUUCGGACCAGGAACAUGUAAAUACCUGGGGAAAUUGUACGUUUCAGCACAACAAAUCCCAAGAGAUGAUCCAUGUGAUUUUUGUUUUUGCUUCCGAAGCGAUAUCAUCUGCUUACAACAGAGCUGUCCCCCACCGAUAUUCGGAUGCCGCCAAGAAUCUAUCCAAGGUUUUUGCUGCCCGAGAUACGAAUGUCCCGUUUCCAAAGCUCUAG
This 3507-nucleotide long non-coding RNA is filed under the name Bemisia tabaci. Its description in RNAcentral is "lncRNA ENSSSA3NGG009427". Lineage: Eukaryota; Metazoa; Arthropoda; Insecta; Hemiptera; Aleyrodidae. The record is from RNAcentral.